This 239-nucleotide ribosomal RNA is filed under the name uncultured Oscillospiraceae bacterium. RNAcentral's name for it is "partial 16S ribosomal RNA". It matches the Rfam family "Bacterial small subunit ribosomal RNA", at positions 796 to 1041 of the family's 1533-position model. The record is from RNAcentral. Lineage: Bacteria; Bacillati; Bacillota; Clostridia; Eubacteriales; Oscillospiraceae.
CACGCCGUAAACGAUGAUUACUAGGUGUAGGGGGUAUCGACUCCCUCUGUGCCGCAGUUAACGCAUUAAGUAAUCCACCUGGGGAGUACGGCCGCAAGGUUAAAACUCAAAGGAAUUGACGGGGGCCCGCACAAGCAGUGGAGUAUGUGGUUUAAUUCGAGGCAACGCGAAGAACCUUACCAGGGCUUGACAUCCUCUGACAACCCUAGAGAUAGGGGGAUAAUAAGUGAAACAGGUGG